GCAGAGUAGGCUGCGGAGCGUCAAGUGCCUGGUGAACAGGGAGUUGUCACCGGGACGAAAAGGAUUUUCCCCUGCGUAUGGAUGAGGGAAUCUUCCUUGCGGUUCCGCCGCCGCAUCCCGCUGC
RNAcentral lists this non-coding RNA (124 nucleotides) under bovine gut metagenome. RNAcentral's name for it is "THF riboswitch". It matches the Rfam family "THF (Tetrahydrofolate) riboswitch aptamer". Rfam says of the family: THF riboswitch presents a pseudoknot that joins P1-P2 and the loop of P3 and two THF binding. The record is from RNAcentral.